CUACUUACCUGGCAGGGGAGACACCAUGAUCACGUAGGUGGUUUUCCCAGGGUGAGGCUCCACCAUUGCACUUGGGCUGUGCUGACCCCUGCGAUUUCCCCAAAUGCGGGAAACUCGACUGCGUAAUUGGUGGUAGGCAGUCUUUGGGUUCCG
RNAcentral lists this small nuclear RNA (153 nucleotides) under Ornithorhynchus anatinus (platypus). RNAcentral describes it as "U1 spliceosomal RNA (ENSOANG00000017643.2)". It matches the Rfam family "U1 spliceosomal RNA". From Rfam's summary of the family: U1 is a small nuclear RNA (snRNA) component of the spliceosome (involved in pre-mRNA splicing). Its 5' end forms complementary base pairs with the 5' splice junction, thus defining the 5' donor site of an intron. The record is from Rfam by way of RNAcentral. Lineage: Eukaryota; Metazoa; Chordata; Mammalia; Monotremata; Ornithorhynchidae.